This 497-nucleotide ribosomal RNA is filed under the name uncultured bacterium. Its description in RNAcentral is "partial 16S ribosomal RNA". It matches the Rfam family "Bacterial small subunit ribosomal RNA", at positions 28 to 507 of the family's 1533-position model. The record is from RNAcentral.
GAUGAACGCUGGCGGCGUGCCUAAUACAUGCAAGUCGAGCGAACAGAUGAGGAGCUUGCUCCUCUGACGUUAGCGGCGGACGGGUGAGUAACACGUGGAUAACCUACCUAUAUGACUGGGAUAACUUCGGGAAACCGGAGCUAAUACCGGAUAAUAUAUUGAACCGCAUGGUUCAAUAGUGAAAGACGGUUUUGCUGUCACUUAUAGAUGGAUCCGCGCCGCAUUAGCUAGUUGGUAAGGUAACGGCUUACCAAGGCAACGAUGCGUAGCCGACCUGAGAGGGUGAUCGGCCACACUGGAACUGAGACACGGUCCAGACUCCUACGGGAGGCAGCAGUAGGGAAUCUUCCGCAAUGGGCGAAAGCCUGACGGAGCAACGCCGCGUGAGUGAUGAAGGUCUUCGGAUCGUAAAACUCUGUUAUUAGGGAAGAACAAAUGUGUAAGUAACUAUGCACGUCUUGACGGUACCUAAUCAGAAAGCCACGGCUAACUACGUG